Long non-coding RNA from Pseudopipra pipra, 904 nucleotides. RefSeq lists it as uncharacterized. The transcript is spliced from 3 exons. NCBI's taxonomy places the organism in Eukaryota, Metazoa, Chordata, Aves, Passeriformes, Pipridae. The record is from RefSeq and is a predicted model, not a curated record.
CAGAAUAGUCUCAAUGUGUGGAAGGGUUCAGCCUUAAUAUUUAGGAAACUACUUUGUUUGAGAUUGCUUGUAACCCAGCUGAAUAGUGUCCAUUUCAAAUAGGACCCAUUACAAACUAUUUACAAUAACGCGUUUGAAGGAUAGUUCCAGGGAAAAAGAGAGAGUAAAUGAUAGAUCUGACUUACCAAAAUUAACUUACAGGGUAUGAACAACAAAGGAGAAAUCUUACACCAAGAAGCCAGCAACUGUUGGACAGCCCUGUACUGCGCAGUUAUGAUGAAUAUGAAACAGCAGAUGAUGUGACUGAUGUGGAAUCUGAAGUGACUGACGUAGAGUCUGAAGUGACUGAUGUAGAAUCUGAAGUGACUGAUGUAGAGUCUGAAGUGACUGACGUAGAAUCUGAAGUGACUGAUGCAGAGUCUGAAGUGACUGACGUAGAAUCUGAAGUGACUGAUGCAGAGUCUGAAGUGACUGACGUAGAAUCUGAAGUGACUGACGUAGAGUCUGAAGUGACUGACGUAGAAUCUGAAGUGACUGACGUAGAAUCUGAAGUGACUGAUGCAGAGUCUGAAGUGAUUGACAUAGAGUAUGCAGUGGCUGACACAGAGUAUGCACCGGCUGAUGUAGCGCCUGAAGUACGGAGAUCAUUGGACGAGGAACCUGCAAUUUCAGAGGAAUGGCAACGAGCUGUAAGGUGCCCGAUCUGCAUGGAUUUUUUUUCACAGAUUAUACGAAGUGUCCGACAGGUUGUGUCAACCCAGUGUGGCCAUCUCUUCUGCAGUCGGUGCAUCGCUGUUGCCCUUGAGAAUUCCAGGGCUUGCCCAACCUGCAGAACAGAACUCCCUCCCAGAGACUAUCAUCCCGUUUAUUUCUGAGUAUUUCUGUUUCUCAGGACAGAAGUAUC